Molecule: ribosomal RNA, 348 nt
Filed under: Staphylococcus aureus
Lineage: Bacteria; Bacillati; Bacillota; Bacilli; Caryophanales; Staphylococcaceae
Description: partial 23S ribosomal RNA
Rfam family: Bacterial large subunit ribosomal RNA
Source: RNAcentral
GGACGGAAAGACCCCGUGGAGCUUUACUGUAGCCUGAUAUUGAAAUUCGGCACAGCUUGUACAGGAUAGGUAGGAGCCUUUGAAACGUGAGCGCUAGCUUACGUGGAGGCGCUGGUGGGAUACUACCCUAGCUGUGUUGGCUUUCUAACCCGCACCACUUAUCGUGGUGGGAGACAGUGUCAGGCGGGCAGUUUGACUGGGGCGGUCGCCUCCUAAAAGGUAACGGAGGCGCUCAAAGGUUCCCUCAGAAUGGUUGGAAAUCAUUCAUAGAGUGUAAAGGCAUAAGGGAGCUUGACUGCGAGACCUACAAGUCGAGCAGGGUCGAAAGACGGACUUAGUGAUCCGGUG